GACGAACGCUGGCGGCGUGCUCAACACAUGCAAGUCGAACGGAAAGGCCCUGCUUUUGUGGGGUGCUCGAGUGGCGAACGGGUGAGUAACACGUGAGUAACCUGCCCUUGACUUUGGGAUAACUUCAGGAAACUGGGGCUAAUACCGGAUAGGAGCUCCUGCUGCAUGGUGGGGGUUGGAAAGUUUCGGCGGUUGGGGAUGGACUCGCGGCUUAUCAGCUUGUUGGUGGGGUAGUGGCUUACCAAGGCUUUGACGGGUAGCCGGCCUGAGAGGGUGACCGGCCACAUUGGGACUGAGAUAGGGCCCAGACUCCUACGGGAGGCAGCAGUGGGGAAUAUUGCACAAUGGGCGGAAGCCUGAUGCAGCAACGCCGCGUGCGGGAUGACGGCCUUCGGGUUGUAAACCGCUUUCGCCUGUGACGAAGCGUGAGUGACGGUAAUGGGUAAAGAAGCACCGGCUAACUACGUG
This 468-nucleotide ribosomal RNA is filed under the name uncultured bacterium. RNAcentral's name for it is "partial 16S ribosomal RNA". It matches the Rfam family "Bacterial small subunit ribosomal RNA", at positions 28 to 507 of the family's 1533-position model. The record is from RNAcentral.